AACGAACGCUGGCGGCAUGCCUAACACAUGCAAGUCGAACGAGACCUUCGGGUCUAGUGGCGCACGGGUGCGUAACGCGUGGGAACCUGCCCUUAGGUUCGGAAUAACUCCCCGAAAGGGGUGCUAAUACCGGAUAAUGUCUUCGGACCAAAGAUUUAUCGCCUUUGGAUGGGCCCGCGUUGGAUUAGCUAGUUGGUAGGGUAAAAGCCUACCAAGGCGACGAUCCAUAGCUGGUCUGAGAGGAUGAUCAGCCACACUGGGACUGAGACACGGCCCAGACUCCUCGGGGGGGCAGCAGUGGGGAAUAUGGGACAAGGGGGGAAAGCCUGACCCAGAAAUGCCGCGUGAGUGAGGAAGGCCUUAGGUUUUAAAAGCUUUUUUCCCCGGGAUGAUAAUGGCAGAACCGGGAGAAUAAGCCCGGGAAAACCCCGG
RNAcentral lists this ribosomal RNA (432 nucleotides) under uncultured bacterium. RNAcentral's name for it is "partial 16S ribosomal RNA". It matches the Rfam family "Bacterial small subunit ribosomal RNA", at positions 29 to 506 of the family's 1533-position model. The record is from RNAcentral.